CGACCGGGUGAGUAACACGUGACUAACCUACCCUCGAUUGGGGAAUAACCUCGGGAAACCGGGGCUAAUACCGCAUAACAUCGCGAGGCGAGAAUCCUUGUGAUCAAAGGAGCAAUUCGAUUGAGGAGGGGGUCGCGGCUGAUUAGCUAGUUGGUGGGGUAACGGCCCACCAAGGCGAUGAUCAGUAUCCGGCCUGAGAGGGCGCACGGACACACUGGAACUGAAACACGGUCCAG
RNAcentral lists this ribosomal RNA (236 nucleotides) under uncultured bacterium. RNAcentral's name for it is "partial 16S ribosomal RNA". It matches the Rfam family "Bacterial small subunit ribosomal RNA", at positions 99 to 334 of the family's 1533-position model. The record is from RNAcentral.